UACGAAGGGGGCUAGCGUUGCUCGGAAUCACUGGGCGUAAAGGGCGCGUAGUCGGCCAUUCAAGUCGGAGGUGAAAGCCCAGGGCUCAACCCUGGAAUUGCCUUCGAUACUGUUUGGCUAGAGACCGGAAGAGGUAAGUGGAACUGCGAGUGUAGAGGUGAAAUUCGUAGAUAUCCGCAAGAACACCAGUGGCGAAGGCGGCUUACUGGUCCGGUUCUGACGCUGAGGCGCGAAAGCGUGGGGAGCAAACAGG
RNAcentral lists this ribosomal RNA (253 nucleotides) under uncultured bacterium. RNAcentral describes it as "partial 16S ribosomal RNA". It matches the Rfam family "Bacterial small subunit ribosomal RNA", at positions 524 to 776 of the family's 1533-position model. The record is from RNAcentral.